Molecule: non-coding RNA, 29 nt
Filed under: Rattus norvegicus (Norway rat)
Lineage: Eukaryota; Metazoa; Chordata; Mammalia; Rodentia; Muridae
Source: RNAcentral
UAGGAUAUGGCAAGGCUUCCAGUGACCUU